UAAGUUUGUCGGGAUCAACUUCUAGUGUUGCAUGACCAUAUACAGUCUCCAAUCCAGUGUGUAUAUUCCUCUGAUAUAUAAUUAAUUUAAAACGCUUUACGUUUGUAAUCUCCAUCUGAUACGUUUCUUUCCAAUUGGGAACUAGCUCGUCAUAAACAUCUCGAGUAUGUACACAAAAUUCCGACUCAGGAUCUUGGAGCAAAACAGAGAAUGAAUAUGGGGCCUUUGGGG
Schizosaccharomyces pombe (fission yeast) is the source of this 231-nucleotide non-coding RNA. The record is from the annotation of a GenBank genome assembly. Lineage: Eukaryota; Fungi; Ascomycota; Schizosaccharomycetes; Schizosaccharomycetales; Schizosaccharomycetaceae.